Molecule: non-coding RNA, 107 nt
Organism: Termitomyces sp. 'cryptogamus'
Lineage: Eukaryota; Fungi; Basidiomycota; Agaricomycetes; Agaricales; Lyophyllaceae
Source: the annotation of a GenBank genome assembly
AGCAGCAUGGCGCAGCACGGCAGCGCACGGGACUUGUAUUAUCCCAGUGAGAGGUUCAUGUACACCAAGUCGUCCCGAGGCCACUUGUUCGAAUCAAGUUGCUGCUA